This 446-nucleotide ribosomal RNA is filed under the name uncultured bacterium. Its description in RNAcentral is "partial 16S ribosomal RNA". It matches the Rfam family "Bacterial small subunit ribosomal RNA", at positions 338 to 795 of the family's 1533-position model. The record is from RNAcentral.
CCUACGGGUGGCUGCAGUCGAGAAUCAUUCACAAUGGGGGAAACCCUGAUGGUGCGACGCCGCGUGGGGGAAUGAAGGUCUUCGGAUUGUAAACCCCUGUCAUGUGGGAGCAAAUUAAAAAGAUAGUACCACAAGAGGAAGAGACGGCUAACUCUGUGCCAGCAGCCGCGGUAAUACAGAGGUCUCAAGCGUUGUUCGGAAUCACUGGGCGUAAGGCGUGCGUAGGCUGUUUCGUAAGUCGUGUGUGAAAGGCGCGGGCUCAACCCGCGGAUGGCACAUGAUACUGCGAGACUAGAGUAAUGGAGGGGGAACCGGAAUUCUCGGUGUAGCAGUGAAAUGCGUAGAUAUCGAGAGGAACACUCGUGGCGAAGGCGGGUUCCUGGACAUCAACUGACGCUGAGGCACGAAGGCCAGGGGAGCGAAAGGGAUUAGAUACCCGAGUAGUC